AAGGAUAGAGCUCUUCAUCUCUGUUAGAAACGACCAUCAAAAAGAUACAUCAAUUCAUUAGAAUCAAAAGGACAUGAGUUAUCAGAAUUCUUUCUCCUGAAAGAAAGUGGAGAUCAAAGGUAAAACUUCUAGAGAAUGAGAUGAAGGCAGAUGAAAGAAGUUAACAAGACAUUACAUGACUUGAUAAUAUUGCAUGUAUGCAAAAACCUUAUGAAAUCAACUGUGUUCUAGCGACCACUUGUUUUUCUUUUUGUCAUAAUACUUUUUAUUCUCUUGCAAUGAUAUUGAUUCAUCUGCACCUGACAUCAACUCUGCAUUUGUAGAAGGUGAUAAGAAUACAGGGAAAUGGAAUAAGUGGCUUUGCCUGCAAUCCCGCAGCAGCAGAAAUGUCCAUUUCCUCUCUCCUGAAUAAUACUACAUUCUCCACUGGGUUCCACAAGUUUCGAGGUAAAAGCAUGAACAUACACGAAGUCACCAUCACUACCCUCACCACCACCACCAUUAUUUCCACCAUAUUCACCCUUUUAAUACGCAAACUUCCUCCAAGGCUUCCUGAAGUCACCCAGAAAUGCAUUUCCCCAAGAGUGAGUUGUGCUAACAUUGUAUCCUAUGGAACUCUGGGAAGCUACCCAGAUCCUCAACUCUUGGAGUCUUGCUGACUGCAUGUUCCAGGCUCCACAUUUAAGCUCCAGUGACUGCUGAUGACUGCAUGACCUAACACAUGUCCUCAAUCCUUUCUUGGCCUCAGUUUCUUCACCAGUGAAUUCUGAAUGCUGGAAUUGGCAAUAUUUCAGGUUCUUUCCAACUGGAAAUACCCAUGCUAAUAAUUUUAGUAAGUCAAUAGCCAUAGAAACCUACUGACAAAAUGAGUAUUUUAACAGAGACAGUUGUACUUUCUUAAUUUUUAGCAGAAGGGAAUGCAUAUGUAUAAUAUCUAUGUUGCCUUCUAUGUGUAAAAAUAAAUACACAGACAC
RNAcentral lists this long non-coding RNA (974 nucleotides) under Homo sapiens (human). Its description in RNAcentral is "long intergenic non-protein coding RNA 2825". The record is from RNAcentral. Lineage: Eukaryota; Metazoa; Chordata; Mammalia; Primates; Hominidae.